Molecule: transfer RNA, 65 nt
Filed under: Leopoldinia pulchra
Lineage: Eukaryota; Viridiplantae; Streptophyta; Magnoliopsida; Arecales; Arecaceae
Description: partial transfer RNA-Leu
Source: RNAcentral
AAAAUCCGUCGACUUUAGAAAUCGUGAGGGUUCAAGUCCCUCUGGUUCAAGUCCCUCUAUCCCCA